AAUUCCUCUAUGGGCAAUCUGUUUCAGAUACAGAAGACAUGCCAAAGUGAAGGGAAUUCUGUUUCCUAAUGGGCCACCCUGCUUUGUGAUGCCUCUCUCACGCAACACUUUCAAAAGACCGCUGACUCACACGUGGGUUUUACUGCUGUGGUUGAAGGUGCACAACGCCAAGGUUAAGCUCAUGGCCCUUGCUCCUUUUGAAGCUUCCUGGAUCUCCAAGAUACCUGCAGGGGGACAUUCUACCAAAAAGCAAGUGAUGGAAAAACCUGUGUUCUUCUUGCUCUGUUCUCCGCUGACUGAGACUUGUGGCUGACAGGUGACAGCUGUCUGAAGCUCCCAAGGUUUGUGCACUUAAAUCAGUGAUGACUGCACCUCACCCCACAUCUCACCCAGUGUCACAAAGUACGACAACCAGUCACGUCCCCAGUGUCAGCAGAAAUACUCCUCAGUGGAGGAAGCUACUGGAGGAUGUGUCUUAAAAAAACGAAUGAUGAACUAAGAAAAUAGAAGAUAUGGGAUCCUAGAAAAGAAGAUCCAACACAAGACAGAGAUACUUCGUAUGAAACAAUGAGCUGCAGUCCAAAGGAAGACAGUGGAUCAACUUAUCCUGAAACCAAAGGUGGAAGAAGCAGAGAGGGCAUGAGACUGCCGUGAGGAGAGAAUUAAACGGAGCACAUCUCCAAGCUCAGUAUCUUGGAUCCUAUGACAUACCUGCCCUUCUUUGUCCUCCUGUAGAACUCAGUAGUCACCAGCCCAUUGGUUGAUUACAGGGCCGCCUGA
Camelus dromedarius (Arabian camel) is the source of this 780-nucleotide long non-coding RNA. RefSeq lists it as uncharacterized. NCBI's taxonomy places the organism in Eukaryota, Metazoa, Chordata, Mammalia, Artiodactyla, Camelidae. The transcript has 5 exons. The record is from RefSeq and is a predicted model, not a curated record.